GAGUUUAUUUUCAAGAUUCAAGGAACCUAUUUGUAAAGCAUCGAUGUAUGGAUGAAGAGGCUAUGGAGCUAGGCACUGCUGAGGAGGGAGGGGCCGAUGCUUAGAGUUCCUUGUCGGUUCGACUUUCGAUAAUAAUGGUUUAUGUUUUUAUGUUUUUGUGAUGGGUCCCGUGUUGAGACGUUUUGUUGGCUUAACUUAAGACAAUAUGUCUUUGGGCAUGAUGUAAAUAUUAUGGUGGGGUGAUGGUAAUGGUGUAACUUUUAUGGUGGGAUGAUGGUAACACCACAUACAAUGGUUUAACAUCUUUUUGUAUGUGUUGCAGGGACUGAGUCCCCUCUUAUUAGAACUAGUUAUGUUUGAUGAAUGAAUGUUGGACUCUGACAGUCUUUUAU
Long non-coding RNA from Juglans microcarpa x Juglans regia, 392 nucleotides. RefSeq lists it as uncharacterized. Lineage: Eukaryota; Viridiplantae; Streptophyta; Magnoliopsida; Fagales; Juglandaceae. The record is from RefSeq and is a predicted model, not a curated record. The transcript is spliced from 2 exons.